RNAcentral lists this long non-coding RNA (1217 nucleotides) under Phaseolus vulgaris (common bean). RNAcentral describes it as "long non-coding RNA (PVUL_LNC004369)". Lineage: Eukaryota; Viridiplantae; Streptophyta; Magnoliopsida; Fabales; Fabaceae. The record is from RNAcentral.
AAAUCCUUCAAUCCAGUAUAGAACACCAAGUGUUUGAUGGAAUGCCUAUUCCAACUACUCAACACAAACUACACUGAAUCAAAAUUACACCGUCUCAGAUCAACCACUCCACUACUCAACUUCUCUUAUUUCGAAGAUUAACAGAACAGAAAAAUUGUAAUUAAAAUUGCACGUAAAUGUAAAUUGAAACGCACCUAUUAAAUUCACAGAAACUGAAUGGCACUGGACUUCGCUACACCUUCAACUCACACAAUUCUAAUUCAUGCUUAUUGAACAAACACCUUGGCUGCAAUGAAUCAAUUCAUACGAAACACUACAGUUCCUUUUUGGUUAGUGCUCGCUGAAUCUCAAAUUCUCCAGCAAAUCGCUUCAAAUCGAUCGUCUUCUCCGUUAACCGGUUUCGCCGGAAAACUGAAACUCCUCUGUUACUGAUUCUUCCAGCAACGCACCAAAUCUCAAGCAAAUUAUGAUUUCGGCGGUUCAAAUCUCCUUACCGCAAUAUCUCAUUCAGUGUUCUCCAAUCACUUGAUUUAAAAAUCGUUCCAGAGAAUGAAGAAUGUAGAUGAAAACGCACCGGAAACUCACAGUUUCAACGAUUUAGGUCGCCGGAAAACACAACUCCUCGCUGAUUUAGGUCACUGGAAACCGCAAAAACCUCUGUCCACUGAUUAUGUUCGCCGGAAGCCGCAAAACCUCCUUACACCAAUUUCGUUUGCCAAAAAUCGCAAAACACCUCCGUUCGUGAUUCCUCCAACACCACACCGCUUCAAUUAGAUUUCACACCGAACAAAUUCUUCGUCAAACUUAUGUUUCUCACCUUCGCACCAAACUCAGCUCACACGUUUUCAAAAUCACAUCAAGAAUGAAGAACAAGAUGAACGGAUUGAAAACGCAUAUGAACGUGAACGUGCAACAGAUUUUCGUGAAAUUUUGACAAUACAAACGGAUUCGGAACUGCUAUUCGCACCACAGAUCCAAUGAGAUCUCACAAACAAGUCCAAACUCUUCUUCACACCUGGAAAUUUCUUUUAGAACCACGAACAAUUUUCGGAAAAUUUUUCGAGAAUUUUCGAAAAUGAAUUUUGAGAGAGUAAUAAUGGAAACCUAACUCAAAGAAAAUUGCUAAUGAUCUAGUAGCAAUUUAUGAACUCAAAAAUGAAAAUCAAAAGCACUCAAGAGCUCUAAUCUAUGAAGAAAUUUGAAAAAAAACUUCAAAA